UAAACAAACAGCACAGACUUAUUUUAAAGGCACAUAGUCAUCUUGAAAAUAGUCCAUUACUGAAAAUUUAGUAGCCAUGAUUGCAUCCAUCAACCCCUAGUGUAACUUUAAAAAGCUGGAUUUUUUUUUUGGCAUGAAUAACAAGCCUGGCUUGCUUGAGGAUUCUCUAGAUGCCUAAGAAGGUAUGAAUUGUAAGACCUCAUAAUUCAAGUAUGCUGACCCAUACUUCAAAGAAUAACACAGACUUCCUCUUUCUGAAGGGAGAAGAUAUGGCUAAUGUAAACCCUGGGAAGUGUUAUGAGCUUCAAAGGACUCUUGGAAACAAUGUGCUAAAGCAGACAAACACUAUUAAGUGGGACUCCUAGGAAAUACUUGGGAGAAGAGGAAGUCUACUUCUCACCCCGACUCAACCUUUUGAAGCUGCACCUUGAGCAAGGGCCUUUUAUCUGCUCAUUAAAGACAAGAUCAGAGGCCCAGGCUGGAUAAAACAGUGGCUCACAGACACAUGGGGCUGCACGUGCUGAACAAAAGGUGUUAUGAACUUGUGACCAGAGAAAACCCCCUUUGCGGGGUCUGAAGGACUGUUCACCUGCCAGAGUCCUUGUUGGAGUUGGGGUGAUCUCUGGUAAGCUUAUUAGCAUGCAUGUGGGUUCUUUCGUUAUUUGCAAUAGGUUUACUCUGUAAUGCUUUCACCUCAAAAAUAAGUGUGCUUGCUUAGAAAGAGCUGUGUGGUAAUUUAACUGUGGGUAAUUACACUGUUUAUAAUCUCUGAGGAGAGAAGUAAAGCAUGCCGGCUUAGACAGUCUGACUUUGCUGAGGAAUUCACAGUGUAAGCAGGGAUCUGUGCAGCCUGGAUAUACCCCCGUCAGGAGGGAGAGAGACUUGCCCAAGAGAAGUGAUGGCGAGGGAGCCGGAAACCUAAGAGUGGGAGCCCUUGUUGGACCAGUUUCUCAGAGGAACCUGGACUAAGAAAAGAUACAAGCUUCAAAAGUUCCUCCCAGACAAGUCAUGAGCAACAUUAUAUGUAACAAAGCUAAGAGCUGGGGAUAAGAAAGAUAGCCAGCCUCAAACCAUGCUCCAUUCAAAGUUUUGAAAACUGAUGGAAAAUAUAUUCAGAAAUCAAACCCAAUUAUCUUAUUUUUACUUAUAUUUAAUCUACCCUUUUUCUGUUACAAAAACUUGCCACUGCAGCAGAGACCAUUCCAGACAAUGUUUUCACAUGCCACAGAGUAUCUGAUAUAUUACCAAGAUAGUAUUAACUAGAGCAAAUUGACAUGCUAUCAGAAAUUAACACACCUGUUGGCCAUGCCAACAAGCUCUUCACUUAAUCUCUACUGCUUUGCCCUCUACUUAUGA
Long non-coding RNA from Mauremys reevesii (Reeves's turtle), 1356 nucleotides. RefSeq lists it as uncharacterized. The record is from RefSeq and is a predicted model, not a curated record. The transcript is spliced from 3 exons. NCBI's taxonomy places the organism in Eukaryota, Metazoa, Chordata, Testudines, Geoemydidae.